GGGUUGUGAGGUUAAGCGACUAAGCGUACACGGUGGAUGCCCUGGCAGUCAGAGGCGAUGAAGGGCGUGCUAAUCUGCGAUAAGCGCCGGUAAGGUGAUAUGAACCGUUAUAACCGGCGAUACCCGAAUGGGGAAACCCAGUGUGAUUCGUCACACUAUCAUUACGUGAAUACAUAGCGUAAUGAAGCGAACCGGGGGAACUGAAACAUCUAAGUACCCCGAGGAAAAGAAAUCAACCGAGAUUCCCCCAGUAGCGGCGAGCGAACGGGGAGGAGCCCAGAGCCUGAAUCAGCAUGUGUGUUAGUGGAAGCGUCUGGAAAGGCGCGCGAUACAGGGUGACAGCCCCGUACACAAAAGCGCAUGUGCUGUGAGCUCGAUGAGUAGGGCGGGACACGUGGUAUCCUGUCUGAAUAUGGGGGGACCAUCCUCCAAGGCUAAAUACUCCUGACUGACCGAUAGUGAACCAGUACCGUGAGGGAAAGGCGAAAAGAACCCCGGCGAGGGGAGUGAAAAAGAACCUGAAACCGUGUACGUACAAGCAGUGGGAGC
This 549-nucleotide ribosomal RNA is filed under the name Salmonella enterica. RNAcentral's name for it is "bacterial LSU rRNA". It matches the Rfam family "Bacterial large subunit ribosomal RNA", at positions 1 to 580 of the family's 2925-position model. Lineage: Bacteria; Pseudomonadati; Pseudomonadota; Gammaproteobacteria; Enterobacterales; Enterobacteriaceae. The record is from RNAcentral.